AAGAGAGAGACAUGCGCGCAUAUCAAUAAGCGGAGGAAAAGAAACUAACAAGGAUUCCCUUAGUAACGGCGAGUGAAGCGGGAAGAGCUCAAAUUUGAAAUCUUCAAGGUUUUACCUUGACGAAUUGUAGUUUAAAGAAGUGUUUUCUGCUGAAGUUUUGGUAAAAGUUCUUUGGAAUAGGACAUCAUAGAGGGUGAGAAUCCCGUAUUUGACCAUUAUUUUCAGCUUUGUGAUACACUUUCAAAGAGUCGGAUUGUUUGGGAAUGCAGUCCAAAAUGGGUGGUAAAUUUCAUCUAAAGCUAAAUAUUGGCGAGAGACCGAUAGCGAACAAGUACCGUGAGGGAAAGAUGAAAAGAACUUUGAAAAGAGAGUUAAACAGUACGUGAAAUUGUCAAAAGGGAAGCGUUUGACACCAGUGUUGUUUUCUCGAAAAUCAAUUAAAAAUGGCUCGAUUUGUAUUGCUGAGACCUUAAAAGCUCACUGUACAUUUUUCGUGUCUUUUUUAAUGCACUUUUCGUUUAACAAGUCAACAUCAGUUUCUUUUGUUGUAAAAGGGUCAUUGGAAGGUGGCUUUCUUUUCGGAGAAAGUGUUUAUAGCCUUUGGCCUCUGCAAUCGGAAGAGACUGAGGUCUGCAGCGUAGACUCUUCGGGGUUAGAUACAUUUGUGCUAAGUUAUAGCUUUUUAUAGACAACUUGUUGACUAUAAUUAGUCUUGUAGCUUACUCGCUUAUGCUAUUUUACCUACGCUUAGGAUGUUGAAGAUGUAGCACAUCAU
RNAcentral lists this ribosomal RNA (775 nucleotides) under uncultured Neocallimastigales. RNAcentral describes it as "partial large subunit ribosomal RNA". It matches the Rfam family "Eukaryotic large subunit ribosomal RNA", at positions 23 to 634 of the family's 3401-position model. The record is from RNAcentral. Lineage: Eukaryota; Fungi; Neocallimastigomycota; Neocallimastigomycetes; Neocallimastigales.